Molecule: ribosomal RNA, 247 nt
Filed under: uncultured bacterium
Lineage: Bacteria
Description: partial small subunit ribosomal RNA
Rfam family: Bacterial small subunit ribosomal RNA
Source: RNAcentral
AGGACGAACGCUGGCGGCGUGCUUAACACAUGCAAGUCGAACGAGGUGCUUGCACCUAGUGGCGAACGGGUGAGUAACACGUGAGCAACCUGCCCCUGGCUCUGGGAUAGCCUCCGGAAACGGGGAUUAAUACCGGACAUUCACUUUCUUCCGCAUGGUGGAGGGUGGAAAGUUUUUCGGCUGGGGUGGGCUCGCGGCCUAUCAGCUUGUUGGGGGGGUGACGGCCCACCAAGGCGACGACGGGUAG